UAAGCGGAGGAAAAGAAACCAACAGGGAUUGCCUCAGUAACGGCGAGUGAAGCGGCAAGAGCUCAACUUUGGAAUCGCUCCGGCGAGUUGUAGUCUGGAGGUGGCCACCACGAGGUGUUCUAGCAGCAGGCAAGUCCUUUGGAACAAGGCGCCAGCGAGGGUGACAGCCCCGUACCUGCUUUUGCUAGUGCUUCCUGUGGCCCACCGACGAGUCGAGUUGUUUGGGAAUGCAGCUCUAAGUGGGUGGUAAAUUCCAUCUAAGGCUAAAUAUUGGCGAGAGACCGAUAGCGAACAAGUACAGUGAUGGAAAGAUGAAAAGCACUUUGAAAAGAGAGUGAAACAGUACGUGAAAUUGUUGAAAGGGAAGGGCUUGCACCCAGACACGGUUUCGGCCGGGCCAGCAUCAAGUAGAACGGGGUUAAAAGACUUGGGGAAUGUAGCUACUUCGGUAGUGUUAUAGCCCUUGGUGAUGACCCCUGUUUUGCUUGAGGACAGCGGUCUCUAGGAUGCUGGCGCAAUGGUUGCAAGCCACCCGUCUUG
Molecule: ribosomal RNA, 540 nt
Filed under: Candidozyma auris
Lineage: Eukaryota; Fungi; Ascomycota; Pichiomycetes; Serinales; Metschnikowiaceae
Description: LSU rRNA
Rfam family: Eukaryotic large subunit ribosomal RNA
Source: RNAcentral